This 73-nucleotide transfer RNA is filed under the name Felis catus (domestic cat). It matches the Rfam family "tRNA". Rfam says of the family: Transfer RNA (tRNA) molecules are approximately 80 nucleotides in length. The record is from Rfam by way of RNAcentral. Lineage: Eukaryota; Metazoa; Chordata; Mammalia; Carnivora; Felidae. RNAcentral also lists the same sequence under 3 other names.
GCCUGGCUGGCUCAGUCAGUAUAGUGUGUGACUCUUGAUCACAGGGGUGUGAGUUCAAGCCCCACGUUGGAUG